Molecule: ribosomal RNA, 467 nt
Filed under: uncultured bacterium
Lineage: Bacteria
Description: partial 16S ribosomal RNA
Rfam family: Bacterial small subunit ribosomal RNA
Source: RNAcentral
GACGAACGCUGGCGGCGUGCUUAACACAUGCAAGUCGAACGAUGAUCCGGAUCUUGCUCCUGUGAUUAGUGGCGAACGGGUGAGUAACACGUGAGUAACCUGCCCCUGACUCUGGGAUAAGCGUUGGAAACGACGUCUAAUACUGUAUAUGAUCACUGGCCGCAUGGUCUGGUGGUGGAAAGAUUUUUUGGUUGGGGAUGGACUCGCGGCCUAUCAGCUUGUUGGUGAGGUAAUGGCUCACCAAGGCGACGACGGGUAGCCGGCCUGAGAGGGUGACCGGCCACACUGGGACUGAGACACGGCCCAGACUCCUACGGGAGGCAGCAGUGGGGAAUAUUGCACAAUGGGCGAAAGCCUGAUGCAGCAACGCCGCGUGAGGGAUGACGGCCUUCGGGUUGUAAACCUCUUUUAGUAGGGAAGAAGCGAAAGUGACGGUACCUGCAGAAAAAGCACCGGCUAACUACGUG